RNAcentral lists this ribosomal RNA (396 nucleotides) under uncultured bacterium. Its description in RNAcentral is "bacterial SSU rRNA". It matches the Rfam family "Bacterial small subunit ribosomal RNA", at positions 29 to 416 of the family's 1533-position model. The record is from RNAcentral.
AAUGAACGCUGGCGGCGCGCCUAAUACAUGCAAGUCGAGCGAGAAGACGUAGCAAUACGUUUGUAAAGCGGCGAACGGGUGAGGAAUACAUGGGUAACCUACCCUCGAGUGGGGAAUAACUAGCCGAAAGGUUAGCUAAUACCGCGUACGCUUCUUGGACUUCGGUUCAGGGAGGAAAGCGAUGCCGAGGGUAUCGCGCUCUUGGAUGGGCUCAUGUCCUAUCAGCUUGUUGGGAGGUAACGGCUCACCAAGGCUUCGACGGGUAGCUGGUCUGAGAGGACGAUCAGCCACACUGGCACUGCGACACGGGCCAGACUCCUACGGGAGGCAGCAGUAAGGAAUAUUGCGCAAUGGGCGAAAGCCUGACGCAGCGACGCCGCGUGGGGGAUGAAGGUC